AUACGUAGGUGGCAAGCGUUAUCCGGAUUUACUGGGCGUAAAGGGCGUGUAGGCGGUCUUGCAAGUCAGAAGUGAAAUUCCUGAGCUCAACUCGGGCGCUGCUUCUGAAACUGCAGGACUUGAGUGCUGGAGGGGAUAGCGGAAUUCCUAGUGGAGCGGUAAAAUGCGCAGAUAUUAGGAAGAACACCGGUGGCGAAGGCGGCUAUCUGGACAGUAACGGACGCUGAGGCGCGAAAGCGUGGGGAGCAAACAGGAUUAGAUACCCUGGUAGUCCACGCUGUAAACGAUGAAUACUAGGUGUAGGGGGUAUCGACUCCCUCUGUGCCGCAGUUAACACAAUAAGUAUUCCGCCUGGGGAGUACGGCCGCAAGGUUGAAACUCAAAUGAAUUGACGGGG
Molecule: ribosomal RNA, 397 nt
Filed under: uncultured bacterium
Lineage: Bacteria
Description: partial 16S ribosomal RNA
Rfam family: Bacterial small subunit ribosomal RNA
Source: RNAcentral